RNAcentral lists this transfer RNA (63 nucleotides) under Platynereis dumerilii (Dumeril's clam worm). RNAcentral's name for it is "tRNA-Val". The record is from RNAcentral. Lineage: Eukaryota; Metazoa; Annelida; Polychaeta; Phyllodocida; Nereididae.
CAAGAUAUAGCAUAAAUAAUGCCCAUCACUUACAAUGAUGUAAUAGAAACUUUCUUAUCUUGA